ACUGUUCAGAGCACCUAAGUCCUCUGUCGUUAUCAUUAACAAAAUCUUCCCAAAUAGCGGCCAAGGAAAAGAAUCCACUCCAGGGGCUAAGAUGGCGGUGGUGGAAAGGCCAGGACGUGUGUGUCCCAGCUUGAGCUCUGUGUGCUGUGCCAUUAGGUAGUGCCCAGCGCUAUCUUCUCUUAGAAGAGAACUCACAGCGGGUCACGGAUUGUCAAGUAUCUCAUCAAAAUGAAAAACCAAAAACAAAUGUAGAGCUAACAUUGGGAGACUGUUAUGCGUUGACUGAGCUUCUUACGGGCCCGACCCUCCCUCCUUACCUCCUCUCCUAGUCCUUUGGGCUCACUUUUCCAGGAAGAGUAAAGGCUUACAAAGUAAAGUAGGAGGAGAAGGAAGCGCUGGCAAUGGGCAGUAGGCUCUUGGAGCGAGGAUGGAAGAGGUAUUAGGAACCCCAUUGGUCCUUGCCCCAGUCCCUACGACUACCUCUGCUCUUGGUUACCAAGUUCUCCUACCUAUGACUUACCACCUCCACACCCUUUCUGGGUUCCAGUCCCAUGCCCCGCCCCACCCCCCAGCCAUGUGAACUAUAAAAAUUGUCAAGAUGUAAAUAUCUGGUUCUUCUGUAUAAUAAAGCACCUAUGAAGUACCA
RNAcentral lists this long non-coding RNA (646 nucleotides) under Rattus norvegicus (Norway rat). RNAcentral's name for it is "long non-coding RNA NONRATT008736". Lineage: Eukaryota; Metazoa; Chordata; Mammalia; Rodentia; Muridae. The record is from RNAcentral.